CCUACGGGAGGCAGCAGUAGGGAAUCUUUCACAAUGGGCGAAAGCCUGAUGGUGCAACGCCGCGUGCAGGAUGAAGGCCUUCGGGUUGUAAACUGCUUUUAUAAGCGAGAAAUAUGAUGGUAACUUAUGAAUAAGGAUCGGCUAACUACGUGCCAGCAGCCGCGGUCAUACGUAGGAUCCGAGCAUUAUCCGGAGUGACUGGGUGUAAAGAGUUGCGUAGGUGGCAUAAUAAGUAGCUAGUGAAAUCUGGUGGGUCAACCAUUCAGACUAUUGGCUAAACUGUUAAGCUCGAGACCGUUAGGAGUAGCUGGAAUGUCUGGUGUAGGAGUGAAAUCCGUAGAUAUUAGAAAGAACACCAAUAGCGUAGGCAGGUUACUGGGACGGUUCUGACACUAAGGCACGAAAGCGUAGGGAGCGAACGGGAUUAGAUACCCUAGUAGUC
RNAcentral lists this ribosomal RNA (442 nucleotides) under uncultured bacterium. Its description in RNAcentral is "partial 16S ribosomal RNA". It matches the Rfam family "Bacterial small subunit ribosomal RNA", at positions 338 to 795 of the family's 1533-position model. The record is from RNAcentral.